This 1020-nucleotide long non-coding RNA is filed under the name Nicotiana tabacum (common tobacco). RNAcentral's name for it is "long non-coding RNA (NTAB_LNC000185)". Lineage: Eukaryota; Viridiplantae; Streptophyta; Magnoliopsida; Solanales; Solanaceae. The record is from RNAcentral.
AUCCCAUCUUCUGAUAACUUUGGCCCCAAGAAUUGUCAUUAUAUUCUGUAGAAUUGAUGAAAAUGUAAGAUAAGUAAAUAAAUAAUUAGCUAAAAGACGAAAGCCAAUCGUAAGAAGACCAAUAAGGAAAGUGUGAAUAUGCUUUUUAGAUUAAUGAAAAAGAACUAAUUUGCAUUCUUACCUACCAACAACAUGAAAUUAUGAUCAAAUACACUAACCCAAAAGACUCAAAAGCAAUGCAGCUAGAAGAGAGAGAUGGAUAAUUAAAAUAGGAGAAAUAGGAAAUAUCCAAGUUUUAAUACUUUUAGCCAAUUUUAUAGCUCCUAUCACCUCCACCUCAUUUGAAGCACUUGAUAUUGGACAAAUGUUCAAGUAACAAACAAUAUUAAACAAUAAGAUUUACGAAACACUUGAAAUCAAUAUAAAAAUGGAAGGCAAGAGUCAGAAAGUCUACAAAAGUAUUUUAUCGAACACCUAAAUUACAAAAUAUAUUUUCACAGUAUCGGAAGUAAAAUAACCAUGGAAGCAAAUAAAAAUAUCAUUAAAUCAACACAUGAAUGCAAAAGCACAAGCAGAUUAACCACCAUACGAAUAACAAUAAUCAGAUUUCAAUUGCAAGAGGUUAGCAUUUAAUAUGGCGAUAUUAAAAUUACAUGUAUGAUAUCAGUUCGCAUAUUUCGUUCUCCAUGAUGAACCUCAAGAUAAGGGCUUCACAAGUGAAAAAAUAUUUUGAUUUUUUGCAAGAAACAUCUCUCAAGUCUCAAUUCAUUGUGGAUAGGCUAUCCCCCAUCAGUGAGAAUAGGUAUAUAGCGAGUAUCGAGAGAGAAAGAGAGAGAGAGACGAUGAAGUUACCUAGGAUGGUUGCUGGUGAUGGCAAGACAGAGAGUAGUAGGGCAGCAGGAAAAUGAGAGCAUUUACAGUGCCUACUGAAAUAAUUUCGUGAUAUAUAAUGAAGAUCUAAAAAGUAUUGGAGGGAAAAGGUGAUUGAUGUCGAAAACAUUGGAGAGACAGAUUUCAAAA